GACGAACGCUGGCGGCGUGCUUAACACAUGCAAGCCGAACGGGAACCUUUAUUUCGGUAAAGGAGAGAGUGGCAAACGGGUGAGUAACACGUAGGCAACCUGCCGACAGGAUGGGGACAACAUUCCGAAAGGAAUGCUAAUACCGAAUGGAGUCCGAGGAUGGCAUCAUCCUUGGAUAAAAGAUGGCCUCUUAACAAUGCUAUCGCCUGUCGAUGGGCCUGCGUCUGAUUAGCCAGUUGGCGGGGUAACGGCCCACCAAAGCGACGAUCAGUAGCCGGUCUGAGAGGAUGAACGGCCACAUUGGGACUGAGACACGGCCCAGACUCCUACGGGAGGCAGCAGUGGGGAAUCUUCCACAAUGGGCGAAAGCCUGAUGGAGCAACGCCGCGUGAGUGAAGAAGGUCUUCGGAUCGUAAAGCUCUGUUGCACGGGACGAAAACCGAGCUUGAGAAUAUUGAGUUUGGGGACGGACCGAGCGAGGAAGCCAC
This 488-nucleotide ribosomal RNA is filed under the name Selenomonas sputigena. RNAcentral describes it as "bacterial SSU rRNA". It matches the Rfam family "Bacterial small subunit ribosomal RNA", at positions 28 to 494 of the family's 1533-position model. Lineage: Bacteria; Bacillati; Bacillota; Negativicutes; Selenomonadales; Selenomonadaceae. The record is from RNAcentral.